This 561-nucleotide ribosomal RNA is filed under the name Phialocephala fortinii. RNAcentral's name for it is "eukaryotic LSU rRNA". The stretch from base 197 to 350 matches the Rfam family "5.8S ribosomal RNA". The record is from RNAcentral. Lineage: Eukaryota; Fungi; Ascomycota; Leotiomycetes; Helotiales; Mollisiaceae.
UGAACCUGCGGAAGGAUCAUUACAAGUGAGGCUACCGAACGUUGGAAACAGCGGUUAGGAGCUUACACCCACCCGUGUUUACAUACUAUUGUUGCUUUGGCGGGCCGUGGCCUCCACUGCGGGCUCUGCUCGUGUGUGCCCGCCAGAGAACCAAACUCUGAAUGUUAGUGAUGUCUGAGUACUAUCUAAUAGUUAAAACUUUCAACAACGGAUCUCUUGGUUCUGGCAUCGAUGAAGAACGCAGCGAAAUGCGAUAAGUAAUGUGAAUUGCAGAAUUCAGUGAAUCAUCGAAUCUUUGAACGCACAUUGCGCCCUGUGGUAUUCCGCAGGGCAUGCCUGUUCGAGCGUCAUUUAACCACUCACGCCUGGCGUGGUAUUGGGGCACGCGGUCUCCGCGGCCCUCAAAAUUAGUGGCGGUGCCGGUGGGCUCUAAGCGUAGUACAUACUCCCGCUAUAGAGUUCCCCCGGUGGCUCGCCAGAACCCCCAAUUUUUUACAGGUUGACCUCGGAUCAGGUAGGGAUACCCGCUGAACUUAAGCAUAUCAAAAGGCCCGGAGGAAA